CACAGAUACACACACUGACACACAUGUAGAUAUACAGACACUCACACUGAAACAUGUGCAGAUAUAUAUAUUUACAUAUUCAUACACAUUCAGACACACAUAUACACACACUGACACAGAGAAAAAAUACAAACUAAUACGCAUACAGACACACAGAUACACACACACACAUACAUACAGACACAGACAAACAAAGAUACAAAUACUGAAACACAUACAGAUAGAGAUACACAGAAACACACUGACC
Pelobates cultripes (western spadefoot toad) is the source of this 247-nucleotide non-coding RNA. The record is from the annotation of a GenBank genome assembly. NCBI's taxonomy places the organism in Eukaryota, Metazoa, Chordata, Amphibia, Anura, Pelobatidae.